RNAcentral lists this ribosomal RNA (515 nucleotides) under uncultured bacterium. RNAcentral's name for it is "partial 16S ribosomal RNA". It matches the Rfam family "Bacterial small subunit ribosomal RNA", at positions 28 to 523 of the family's 1533-position model. The record is from RNAcentral.
GAUGAACGCUGGCGGCGUGCCUAAUACAUGCAAGUCGAGCGAAUGGAUUAAGAGCUUGCUCUUAUGAAGUUAGCGGCGGACGGGUGAGUAACACGUGGGUAACCUGCCCAUAAGACUGGGAUAACUCCGGGAAACCGGGGCUAAUACCGGAUAAUAUUUUGAACUGCAUGGUUCAAAAUUGAAAGGCGGUUUCGGCUGUCACUUAUGGAUUGACCCGCGUCGCAUUAGCUAGUUGGUGAGGUAACGGCUCACCAAGGCAACGAUGCGUAGCCGACCUGAGAGGGUGAUCGGCCACACUGGGACUGAGACACGGCCCAGACUCCUACGGGAGGCAGCAGUAGGGAAUCUUCCGCAAUGGACGAAAGUCUGACGGAGCAACGCCGCGUGAGUGAUGAAGGCUUUCGGGUCGUAAAACUCUGUUGUUAGGGAAGAACAAGUGCUAGUUGAAUAAGCUGGCACCUUGACGGUACCUAACCAGAAAGCCACGGCUAACUACGUGCCAGCAGCCGCCGUAA